RNAcentral lists this ribosomal RNA (443 nucleotides) under uncultured bacterium. Its description in RNAcentral is "partial 16S ribosomal RNA". It matches the Rfam family "Bacterial small subunit ribosomal RNA", at positions 338 to 795 of the family's 1533-position model. The record is from RNAcentral.
CCUACGGGAGGCAGCAGUGGGGAAUAUUGGACAAUGGGGGCAACCCUGAUCCAGCGACGCCGCGUGAGUGAAGAAGUAUUUCGGUAUGUAAAGCUCUAUCAGCAGGGAAGAAAGAAAUGACGGUACCUGACUAAGAAGCCCCGGCUAACUACGUGCCAGCAGCCGCGGUAAUACGUAGGUGGCAAGCGUUAUCCGGAUUUACUGGGUGUAAAGGGAGCGUAGGCGGCGAUGCAAGUCUGAAGUGAAAGUCAGGGGCUCAACCCCUGAACUGCUUUUGAAACUGUAUGGCUUGAGUGCAGGAGAGGUAAGUGGAAUUCCUGGUGUAGCGGUGAAAUGCGUAGAUAUUAGGAGGAACACCAGUGGCGAAGGCGGCUUACUGGACUGUAACUGACGUUGAGGCUCGAAAGCGUGGGGAGCAAACAGGAUUAGAUACCCGAGUAGUC